GUCAGGAUGGCCGAGUGGUCUAAGGCGCCAGACUCAAGAACCGAGGUUCUUCGCCGACAUGAGGUGUUGAGUAUUCUGGUCUCCGAAUGGAGGCGUGGGUACGAAUCCCACUUCUGACA
Ciona savignyi (Pacific transparent sea squirt) is the source of this 119-nucleotide non-coding RNA. The record is from Rfam. Lineage: Eukaryota; Metazoa; Chordata; Ascidiacea; Phlebobranchia; Cionidae.